Bimuria novae-zelandiae CBS 107.79 is the source of this 93-nucleotide non-coding RNA. NCBI's taxonomy places the organism in Eukaryota, Fungi, Ascomycota, Dothideomycetes, Pleosporales, Didymosphaeriaceae. The record is from the annotation of a GenBank genome assembly.
UCCGAUAUGGUCUAACGGCUAGGAUAUGCCGCUUUCAUAGGGCUCGCUCUGGAAGGCACCGGCAAGGCCCGGGUUCGAUUCCCGGUAUCGGAA